UUUCUCGCCACCCCCUCGCGGGGCUCGGGUCGGAGCUUUCCCUCUUUUCCUGUAACUUUUGCAUCCGCUUCUCCCGUCUGCCGCUCCCACGCCGGACCCCGAGGGCUCAUUGCGGCCAACGCGGAGCUCGGGUCCCUCCCCGGAUUUGUGCUGAAUUCAAGAGCUUGUUGGGGCUGGGAGCAGAGGGCUGGGGCUGAGCAGAGCGCCUGGAUGGUUUCUAAAGGAAAAUGCUUCUGCUUUUUCCUUGGGAGUGUGUUUCCAGGAGGGCAAGCACCAUGCUCCUGGCACAGCUAAGCAUCAGCUUCUUAACCACGCUCACUACACGUAGUCUGCAGCCAGGGGAGCUCCACAGCAAGAGGCACGAUGUCCAGCAUCCUGCUGCACUACGGAGAGC
Molecule: long non-coding RNA, 394 nt
Organism: Numida meleagris (helmeted guineafowl)
Lineage: Eukaryota; Metazoa; Chordata; Aves; Galliformes; Numididae
Exons: 3
Source: RefSeq, a predicted model, not a curated record